GACGAACGCUGGCGGCGUGCUUAACACAUGCAAGUCGUACGGUAAGGCCCUUUCGGGGGUACACGAGUGGCGAACGGGUGAGUAACACGUGAGUAACCUGCCCACAACUUUGGGAUAACGCUAGGAAACUGGUGCUAAUACUGGAUAUGUGCUCCUGCUGCAUGGUGGGGGUUGGAAAGCUCCGGCGGUUGUGGAUGGACUCGCGGCCUAUCAGCUUGUUGGUGGGGUAGUGGCCUACCAAGGCGGCGACGGGUAGCCGGCCUGAGAGGGUGACCGGCCACCUUGGGACUGAGAUACGGCCCAGACUCCUACGGGAGGCAGCAGUGGGGAAUAUUGCACAAUGGGCGCAAGCCUGAUGCAGCAACGCCGCGUGCGGGAUGACGGCCUUCGGGUUGUAAACCGCUUUCAGCAGGGACGAAGCUUUUUGUGACGGUACCUGCAGAAGAAGCACCGGCUAACUACGUG
Molecule: ribosomal RNA, 465 nt
Filed under: uncultured bacterium
Lineage: Bacteria
Description: partial 16S ribosomal RNA
Rfam family: Bacterial small subunit ribosomal RNA
Source: RNAcentral